GACGAACGCUGGCGGCGUGCCUAAUACAUGCAAGUCGAGCGGACGGAUGGGAGCUUGCUCCCAGACCGUCAGCGGCGGACGGGUGAGUAACACGUGGGCAACCUGCCUGUAAGACUGGGAUAACUCCGGGAAACCGGGGCUAAUACCGGAUAACUCUUUCCCUCACAUGAGGGAAAGCUGAAAGAUGGCAUCUCGCUAUCACUUGCAGAUGGGCCCGCGGCGCAUUAGCUAGUUGGUGAGGUAACGGCUCACCAAGGCGACGAUGCGUAGCCGACCUGAGAGGGUGAUCGGCCACACUGGGACUGAGACACGGCCCAGACUCCUACGGGAGGCAGCAGUAGGGAAUCUUCCGCAAUGGACGAAAGUCUGACGGAGCAACGCCGCGUGAGUGAUGAAGGUUUUCGGAUCGUAAAACUCUGUUGUCAGGGAAGAACAAGUACCGGAGCAACUGCCGGUACCUUGACGGUACCUGACCAGAAAGCCACGGCUAACUACGUG
This 498-nucleotide ribosomal RNA is filed under the name uncultured bacterium. RNAcentral's name for it is "partial 16S ribosomal RNA". It matches the Rfam family "Bacterial small subunit ribosomal RNA", at positions 28 to 507 of the family's 1533-position model. The record is from RNAcentral.